UACGUAGGGUGCGAGCGUUGUCCGGAAUUAUUGGGCGUAAAGAGCUCGUAGGCGGUUUGUUGCGUCUAUCGUGAAAACCUGCGGCUUAACUGUGGGCUUGCGGUGGAUACGGGCAGACUUGAGUUCGGUAGGGGAGACUGGAAUUCCUGGUGUAGCGGUGAAAUGCGCAGAUAUCAGGAAGAACACCUAUGGCGAAGGCAGCUCUCUGGGACGGUACUGACGCUGAGACGCGAAAGCGUGGGGAGCGAACAGG
Molecule: ribosomal RNA, 253 nt
Filed under: uncultured bacterium
Lineage: Bacteria
Description: partial 16S ribosomal RNA
Rfam family: Bacterial small subunit ribosomal RNA
Source: RNAcentral